Topomyia yanbarensis is the source of this 910-nucleotide long non-coding RNA. RefSeq lists it as uncharacterized. The transcript has 3 exons. Lineage: Eukaryota; Metazoa; Arthropoda; Insecta; Diptera; Culicidae. The record is from RefSeq and is a predicted model, not a curated record.
GUCGCCAUCUUUAUUCUUGAUUUUAUCUUUCUUCUUUUUUAGGUUAUAUCCGGUGUCUGUUUUCAUUUUUUUAAUGUCGCCUUUUUCGUCAUCGUUUUCGGUCUCCAUUUUUCGUCGUAUUGGUUUGUCGGAUGCAGAUUCGUAAUCAGUUAAUGAGUCAUUUUCUUCCAGGGGGCUUAGAAAUCCCCCGUGCUCGUCGUCGCUGUCUCUCAUCCAACGAGGAUCUUUCGAUGCCUCGUGGCUGCAGAUUGGAUUUCACUUCUUGCCCCAAUAACGUCCACACAUCUGUACACAAAUAUCGUGUCACACUUCCGACUCCGGUCAAAAGAUGAUGUCCGAGUGCCGAGAAUCCUGAGUUCUACAAAAACUUAUACUGUGUAUAACGCCGGAGUUGCGCAUGUGAAUGGUCGCUUUGGAAAAAGUAUCCGAGCAUUCAGUGUAAAUGAGUUUAAGAAGUAUAUUGACGGAUUAGUGUAAUAAAUUUGUUCAGAUACGUAGAAAACAACUUUCUUUAUAUUUGUUACGGGCACGAGAAAGUUCAUGAAGAGCAUACAAUUUUCUCCCUUUUGAAAACCCGAUUUUUUUUUCGACUUUUUCCAAGUCGAAAGUUUUCCGGCCUGUUUCUGAUAUUGAGGUCGUGUAAUUCAGAAAUGUUGAUGUGAUGAUUUGCAAUGGUUUGAUUUCUGUUGAUUCGAAUGGUAGGAUAAUCGGUUGGUAAAACCGAAAUUCGAAAUUUUCGUAGAGCUCAUUGUUGAUGUAUAAUGAGCAGUUAUGGAAUAUUACAAGAUGGAUUCCUCAUUAUAUAAAAACAAAAUUAUAUUAAAUGUGUAACCUCCUAGUUUUAAGCAAUUCAAAAUGUAAAACAAAGAAAAAAUGGCACCUUUAAGCUAACGCAAACGUGCCUUAUCAA